GUAGGGAAUAUUGCGCAAUGGACGAAAGUCUGACGCAGCGACGCCGCGUGAGUGAUGAAGGCCUUAGGGUCGUAAAGCUCUGUUGAAUGGGAAGAAAAAAAUGACGGUACCAUUCGAGGAAGGACCGGCUAACUUCGUGCCAGCAGCCGCGGUAAUACGAGGGGUCCUAGCGUUGUUCGGAAUCAUUGGGCGUAAAGGGUGUGUAGGUGGCCAUGUAAGUCAGGUGUGAAAGCCCCGGGCUCAACACGGGAAGUGCACUUGAUACUGCGUGGCUUGAGUACCGAAGAGGGUAGUGGAAUUCCAGGUGUAGUGGUGAAAUACGUAGAUAUCUGGAGGAACACCGGUGGCGAAGGCGGCUACCUGGUCGAGUACUGACACUGAGACACGAAAGCAUGGGGAUCAAACAGGAUUAGAAACCCGAGUAGUCC
This 428-nucleotide ribosomal RNA is filed under the name uncultured bacterium. RNAcentral's name for it is "partial 16S ribosomal RNA". It matches the Rfam family "Bacterial small subunit ribosomal RNA", at positions 354 to 796 of the family's 1533-position model. The record is from RNAcentral.